This 253-nucleotide ribosomal RNA is filed under the name uncultured bacterium. Its description in RNAcentral is "partial 16S ribosomal RNA". It matches the Rfam family "Bacterial small subunit ribosomal RNA", at positions 524 to 776 of the family's 1533-position model. The record is from RNAcentral.
UACGUAGGUGGCAAGCGUUGUCCGGAAUUAUUGGGCGUAAAGCGCGCGCAGGCGGUUCUUUAAGUCUGAUGUGAAAGCCCACGGCUCAACCGUGGAGGGUCAUUGGAAACUGGGGGACUUGAGUGCAGAAGAGGAGAGCGGAAUUCCACGUGUAGCGGUGAAAUGCGUAGAGAUGUGGAGGAACACCAGUGGCGAAGGCGGCUUUCUGGUCUGUAACUGACGCUGAGGCGCGAAAGCGUGGGGAGCAAACAGG